RNAcentral lists this transfer RNA (69 nucleotides) under Pterostichini sp. CYR01. RNAcentral's name for it is "Pterostichinae sp. CYR01 tRNA-Arg". The record is from RNAcentral. Lineage: Eukaryota; Metazoa; Arthropoda; Insecta; Coleoptera; Carabidae.
AAAUAAGAAGUAAAAUAUUACAUUUAGUUUCGACCUAAAAAAAUGGUAAUUAUAAAUUACCCUUAUUUA